UGUAUAUACGUAUUAGUAAUGAAGCUCGUGCAUGAAGGGGUCAAUAAAAUGGGUGUAGCCUAUAUUCUCACCGGAAAAAUAGAAUUUGGAUCACUAUAAGAAUGGGAUUUGUGCCAUUUGUACCAGCAACACAGAAAGUUUUCUGUUGAGAAUGGAAUUUGGCAGUAAUCAGUGGGUCGGGUGACAAAAUUCAGACAAAAUUUUGGCCGAGAAAAUGGUUGAGCACCCGCUCUGACUUCAUAUGUCGCUCGAUAAGUUUAC
Molecule: non-coding RNA, 261 nt
Organism: Paramuricea clavata
Lineage: Eukaryota; Metazoa; Cnidaria; Anthozoa; Malacalcyonacea; Plexauridae
Source: the annotation of a GenBank genome assembly